RNAcentral lists this ribosomal RNA (496 nucleotides) under uncultured bacterium. RNAcentral describes it as "bacterial SSU rRNA". It matches the Rfam family "Bacterial small subunit ribosomal RNA", at positions 903 to 1397 of the family's 1533-position model. The record is from RNAcentral.
AAAGGAAUUGACGGGGGCCCGCACAAGCGGUGGAGCAUGUGGUUUAAUUCGAUGCAACGCGAAGAACCUUACCAGGUCUUGACAUCCAGAGAACCUUGUGGAAACACGAGGGUGCCUUUUAGGAGCUCUGAGACAGGUGGUGCAUGGUUGUCGUCAGCUCGUGUCGUGAGAUGUUGGGUUAAGUCCCGCAACGAGCGCAACCCUUGCUAUUAGUUGCUAACAUUUUAAGAUGAGCACUCUAAUGGGACUGCCCGUGACAAGCGGGAGGAAGGUGGGGAUGACGUCAAAUCAUCAUGCCCUUUAUGAUCUGGGCUACACACGUGCUACAAUGGGUGGUACAGAGAGCAGCGAAGUCGCGAGGCGGAGCGAAUCUCAUAAAGCCACUCUCAGUUCGGAUUGCAGUCUGCAACUCGACUGCAUGAAGUCGGAAUCGCUAGUAAUCGCGAAUCAGCACGUCGCGGUGAAUGCGUUCCCGGGCCUUGCACACACCGCCCGU